Vicugna pacos (alpaca) is the source of this 12222-nucleotide non-coding RNA. NCBI's taxonomy places the organism in Eukaryota, Metazoa, Chordata, Mammalia, Artiodactyla, Camelidae. The record is from RefSeq and is a predicted model, not a curated record.
UCUACUUUUUUACUAUUACAAGUGGUAUUUAGUGAAUAUCAUCACACAUGUCUCUUUGGGUAGGAACCAAGGUAUGGAGUUGCUGGAUUAAGAAUACAUAGGUCUUCAGUUUACUAGGUGUUGCCAAAUGGUUCUUUAAAACAGCAGUGCAGACUACAUGUAUACUUCCCAUUGCAUCUGAGUAUGGAGUUCCAGUGGCUCCACGUCCUCACAGAUCUUGGUAUUGUAAAUCUUUUUUUUUUAAAUCAUGUCCCAUCUUCCCAUGGCAGAUAGAGAGAACUGUCUAAUAUCAUGCCUGACUAUGUCCCUUCCCUGUUUAAAAUCCUCCAGUCCUCCCCUACUGCUCUCUGUUGUACCACCUAGAGUCUUGCUCUGCAUAAACUAAUCCAUGUCCACUUCUCCAGACUCACCUCUCUAUCCCCUCCUAUUCCAACACUCACGAGUACACACACAAACGUACGCACGCAUGCAUGCACACACACACACGCAUGUGCACAUGCUACAGUCCAAUCAAGCCAAACCAUGUUUGUUCAUGUCCCCUAACCUACUUGCCUUCCCUUGUCUUUGGGGAUAUUCUUUUCUUCUUCUUCAGAGGGCUGGUUCCUACCAGCCCUCAGCUCUCAGCUUGAGAUCUCCUCCCUUGGGAAGCUUCUGCAGGCAUCCCAGGCCUGAGUUGGAUGCCCUUCCUCGCAGCACCCUUGACUUCUGGCAUUGCGGUUCUCAGCACAUUGUCUUACAGUUGCCUGUUAAUCACCUCCCCGCCCCACUAGACUGUGGACACCUUGAUAGCAGGGCCCAUGUGGAGUUUCUCGCUGGAGUGUGCUCUGUGCCCAACCUACCUACUGAAUGAAUUUGUUAAAUAAUCCACGGACAGGAGACAGGUCCACAGUGAGCAGAGGCAGCCAGAUGGGGAGCAGCUGGGAAUCAGACUGGAUAGGAGGUGCUGCCCCACCAUCUUCGUAACCCCAAUUUUCAGGAAAGGAGACAAGGGCUCAGCCAGGGGGCUGACCUGUCUAGAAUCAUGCAGCUUUGAUUCCCAGUCUCCUGACUCUGUGUCUGGGCCCUCUCUGCUGCCCCUCAGCUGCAGUCAAUGGGAAGGAGGCAGUAGAGAGGGAGAGACAGGGCUACCAGGAAGAGAAGGCUGAGCAGAAGAGGGAGCCCUUGGGAUCUAGGUUGCAGGUGGAGAGCUUGGCCCAGCAGAUAUGACCCUGGAUCCUCUGAGCCAGUGAGGAAGGAAGAACAUUGGGCCAGACUUCUAGAUCAGGCCCUUGUUCAGGCUGUCCUGGGAGACUUGAAUGGGCCAGGUCCUUCUCUGGGGAGGAGCAGUCUUGGGGCAAGCAACCGAGCACGUCCCUCAGCUCCCAGCCCACCCGAGUGGCCUCUUCCUGCUGCAUCAGGAGAAUGAUUUCUCAAGACCCCCUGUGAUAAGAGGGAGACUGGAGCCAAGGGCAGCUGGGAAGAAAUAGGAGCCUAAUACAAACAGGCAGGAGCUGGCCCGGGGCCCAGGCCCUGAAUGGAGAGUACUCAGCUCAGGCCCACAGACUCCACCCAGGUCACCGGGCGUCUAGAGGAACUCACAUGUGCCAGGGCAAGUGGACAUCAGCAAAAUGGGGACAAUAAUACCCAUACCUCAUGCGAUUAUCGUGAGGAUGAGGUAAGAUAAAAUGUGUAAAGGGGCUAGAAUAAUGCUCAGCACAUUAUAUCACUCAGUCAGCUCUAGUUAUUAUCAUCUUCUUACAGGGCUGUCAGGAGGAGUGAACAGGAUGAUGUGGUGGAUGAACGUGUAAAGCUGUGUAAAUGUUGGUAAACAGUCUUUCGUCAGGAACUCCAUAAAUGAGUGUGGACGACGUGGAAGCCAGUGGACAGAGGGAAGGCGUGUGGACUUGAGUGACCAAUCGCCCUCCUCUGUUCCUUUGGUUUCUUCUUCUGACACCUGCAUCAGAGACUACACCAGUCGGUUCUGGAAGGAUGCUGAGAGAUGGCCCAGGACAAUCCUCCAGCUUCACACAAGGAGAAACCGAGGCCCGCAGGCUGGAAGUGACCUGUCUAGGGCUGCCCACAAGAUCUGGGAGGACAAUACCAGAGUCCCCAGGAGCUGGUCUGGCCUCCAGGGGCUUUCUGAUCUCCAAAAUGCCCCUCCUUCACUCCAGUCUGUCCAGUUGACGUCAGCGGAGCAUCUGGAGUGCUGGCCUUGGCAUCCAAAGGUGAAGAACCUAUCCUGGGCCGGGGGCCACUUGUUGGUAAGAGAAGAGGGGUGCUGCGGGCUCCCUGGGCGGGAGCUGUGAACCCGGACGAGAGGACGCGCUGGCUGCAUGGGUUUGCCUGCUACUGGAGCCAGUGCAGUUGGUCGUAGGGAAUUUGAUGAAAAUAAUCAGCUGCAGACUCCUAAAAAACAAACAGACGAUGAUCCAGAGGUUUGAAUAACAGCCCCCUCAGCCAGAUGGCCACAGGAGCCUUGCCAGGGAGAAAAAACGAUCUCCCACCCUGAAUUUCCUCUUUGUUCUGGACCCUGCUCUCUUUGGACAUCCUCAGUCCCCCGUUCCUUUCGUGCGCCAGCCACCCGGAGUCUUGUGUUCAGCUUGCUAAAGGCAGCUUUCCCCAGAUUAGGAUUUGGAGACAGGGAAUCCGGGCAAAGAAGGGGCUUUCUUGUCCCAGCAUGAGUCACCCGAGACUGGAGGAAGCACACAGCUGUCUGCAUCUGGGCCUGGAAUGCUGCUUCCUCCUCUGGGGACACUCACAAGAAUCCCGGGAACCUUGUUGGUGCAGAGCAGGAAGUCGACUAUAAGCAGGGCCGCCCUGUGUGGGGCAAGCCCUCUGGACACCUCAGUCUUCGCCAAGAGACCACAUCCAAGCUAUUGGGAAACUGAAUGCUAGCCUGUUUCCACAUUAAAUUGCUACCACGCCUGGAGCACAUGGUGGCCAGUGUGUCCUGCCAAACUCAGCCUCCCUAUGGUUCCAAUAAGAGCAUCCAUGUAAGAGUGAGGCCAGUGUGGCUUUGGAUCCUUGCUCUGUCACUGUGAAACUUUGGGCAACUUCUUUGACCUCUCAGCCUCCGUUUCUACAUCAUUGCAUUUUAGUGAGACUAGUAAAGAAAUUACAUUUUCAGUGCAUGUAGCACAGUAUCUGGCACAUAGCAGGCAUUCUAUAAAUGUUGUUUCCUCCCUCCCAUCCCUCUUGUCCAGAGCCUUUGGUACUAAUUUCUCCUAUUACCCAUUUCUGAAUACUCUCACUGAUCCAUGAUUUAAUGUUUCAUUCUUGGCUUUGGGCAAAGCUUCCAGGUACAAUCCUCUCCCAUUUUUCCCUGAAUGGAUUGCCAUCUCUCCUCCAUGGUUAGAUUAGCUACUCUGUUUGCCAGUAUGUAGUUUGACUUCCUAAGGUACUAUGAAUUCUGUUUGGAAGGAGACUAGGCAGGAUAUGAUUAUGUGACAUCUCAUCAGGCUCACUUAACUUACGAGUCUACUUAGAACUUUCCUUCCCUAAUAAGCAGUAAUGCCAUUAAAAAAACUUAUCAACAAAAACAUCUAUGAAUACAUAUUAAGAUUAUAAAGUGUAUUAGUCAGGAUUGGCUGGGUUUUGCUGCAGUAACACACACCUCCCAAAUAUGAAUAGCUUAAAACAGCAAAGGUUUAUUUCCCCCUUAUAUUACAAGUCCAUUGUAGAUCAGUGGUGUCCCUGCCCCACACUGACCUCUCUUGGACACUCAGGAUUCACCAUCUGGAAUGUUGUUGGCACUGCAGCCAAGGGAAGAGAAGAUGAAGAGUUGCUUAGCAUUUAGCAGAACUUGAACACCUCUGCCCAGUAGUAACACACAUCACUUCACAUUUCAUUGACUAAAGCAAGUCACAUAAUCUUGCCUAACCUCAAGGGAGUAAACACAAUCUAUUGCAUUCAAGGCAGGAGACAACUAGAAACAUUGAUGAACAACACUAAUGUUGACCCCAUAGAAGCUCAAUGUUUUGAGAAGAACAGAGGAAACCAUGCAGGCAAGUAGAAAUGCUGAAAUUCCACCCCUGCCAGCCACCACUGGGGAUUUGCUAGUCAUUUGGAAAACAGAAUAUGCCCGGAUGUUUGCACAAAGAAUUUCCUUCAUUCUAUUUCUGUGGUCCUAAGUUUCCAAUGUGUAUAGGAAUUAUUUGAUGUUGCACAGCAUUGUACAUACAAUCCUAAAGGGUUUUCAAAGUGUUUUAAAAAUACACAAUUUUCCCUGUCUGCUAAAUUUAGAACCUGACCUAUUUAGGAUAUGAUUCUACACUAUUUAAUUGAUACUAGCGCCUGACUUUAUUAUUUUAAACCACUUUGUUAAAGUAUGAUUGACAUACAAAGAGUGGUACAAUUUAAUUAUAUAACAUGAUGAGUUUGGAAAUAAGUAUAUGUCCACAGAACCAUUAUCACAAUCCAUGCCACAAACAUACCCAUCACUUCUAGAAGUUUCCUCCAAUCCUCUUUCGUUGCCUGAGUUUAACUGUCCCAACAUUUCAUUGCCUUCUCCUCUUCUGUGCUUUACUUACAACCUGAGGGGCCACUCCAUCUCUGAAUCCGAUUGCAGUUGAUAUUUCUUUGAUUUGUGUAUGUACUUUAUAAUAAGAGUUUAUACCAAAACUCAAAAAAUAGUCUUCCAUAUAUAAUAUCAUUUAGUAAUUCUUACCAUAACUCUAAGGAGUUGGUUUAUUAAUGGAUCAUUUGCAUAAUACUGAUGAACUAAUGAAUGCUCAGAGAGGGUAAAUGACUUGCCCAAAGACAUGCAGUACAGAUGUGUUGAAGUCAGGUUUUAACCUAAUUGUGUCUGCCUUCAAAUUCUGGGGCUUUCUCAUUAUCCCAGGCUGCCUUUGGACCUGAACAAGGAGAUCCUGUUUGGGAGAGGAACUAAACUCUGCUCUGGAAAUCUCACAAGAGGGAGUGAGAGAUUCAGGUCCGUAGACCCCUUCUCCCCACGGCCAUCCCUGUGAGUCAGGGCACUGCAAUCAAUGGAACCCCAGUUUCCGCAGGAAUGCUCUGGGCACACAACAUUCCAGAACCUGGACGUCCAGGAAUUCCUGUCAAUUAGGCAUUUAUUCCUGGAAUAAACAUUUCCCUGAAGAGCCCUCCACAGCUUGCUGAUGUCAUGGUCCUGCCACAGUUGGUCUAGGUGAUAAAAGGAAUUGGAUUGUUGGUGUGUAAUGUGUGUGGGUGUGUAAGCUGGGUUCUGUGUGGGGUGGUGUUGUGUAAGCCUUUCUUGAUGUGCAGUCAUCAGAUAAAAUCCAGGAUGCGCAGUUAAAUUUUAAUUUCAGAUGAACAACAAAGUAAUUUUUAGUAUGAUAAGUCUGUCCUGUGCAAUAUUUGGAACAUACUUAUUAUACUAAAAGAUAAUUUGUCGUUCAUCUGAAAUUCAAAUUUAACUGGGCACUUUAUGCUUUUAUUUGCUGAAUGUGACAACUAUAUCUAUGUGCAUGUGUGUUGGUAUAAAUGGGCUUCCUUGUUUGUGUCUCAGGUUCACCUGAGGGUGUGUGUGUGUCCGUGUGCAUAUGGGGUCUGUGUGCAUGUGUCUCCCAGCUGGGGAAGAGUCAGCAGGUGGGUGGGAACAGACAGCUCCACCACCCAAAAACUCGUCUCCCAUGAGGCCUACCCUGCUCGAGGAAGUGAGGUCAGGAUGGGCUGUGAACGCCAGGCCAGGGAGUGUGGACUUUCUCCUGAGGGCCGUGAGGAGCCAUGGAAGGCUCUAAGCUGAGUUGGGUCAGCUUUAGACAUGUGCCAGAGACACCCCUCUGGCUGUGUGGCCGAGAAAGCUCUGGAGAAGGCCACUUGAGAAGGGAGCUGAGGAGCCUGGGAGGGAGGCAUUGAGGAUGAGGAUCUGGGCUUAGGCCUUGGUGGUGGAGAUGGAGGGAAAGGGGCAAAUGGCAGGACUUGAACAUUCCUGCUGGGGUUGAAGGAGGGGGAAUUGGAGGUGACACUAAGCUUUGUGCUUGGGCAUCAGAUGGACUAUGGGCUCCUCGAGGGUUUAUCUUGCUCCCUUCCUCAUCCUUGAUGUUGGGCAUGGUGCCUGGCUUGUAAUGGAUGCUGUCUGGGUGUUUUGGGCGUGAAUAUGUGCAUAUGUGAAUAAGAGAAACGGGAACACGGGAGGAAGGGAGGAGGAGGCAGGGGAGGACGGAGAGGUCUGGGGAAGAAGCUGACCUCGGGGGAGACGUCCAGCAGGCGGUUAACUGUAUGGCCAGCUCAGGGGAGAGGUCCAGGCUGGGGGAGCAAAUUCAGGGGAUAUGAGUGGGUAGAAAAGGUAAGAAACCACCAGCUGGGGUCAGAUCACUGCAGGAAGGAGAAGGUAGUGGCGGAGGAAGGAAGCUUGGGGGAUGGCGGCAUUUAGGGAGCUGCAGGCAGAAGUCUGAGAGGGUCAGUGGAUUCCCCCUCGCAGGGCUGCUGGGGUUCGGUGAGGCUCCCGUGGGGCCUGGGAGCUCCAGGAGGGCCAGCCAAGGGUGAUAAGCAGAACAUUUAACAGGCACUGACCAGUCAGGUCUGGCUGGGCCACCAACCGGUGCCAGGUCUUCUGGGCUCCCAGCUGUGCUGGAGUCAACUCUUGGGUGGCUGGAUCCUGGGGAAGGUUGCAGGGAGGAUGGGAAGAGGGCCUGGGGCAGCUGGGGAAGGUGGCAGGCACUUGGGAGCGCGGGGCAGCUGCUCUGUAAACAGAAACAUAUGAAUAUUUUAACAAAUGGACAGUUCUAUAGGGACAUCCUGGUGCAUGUCGGCCCUGGGGACUGACAGUAUCAUGCAUUUCAUUCCUGGCUGUGGCCUCGCAUUAGGCCAGCACCCAGCAGUGAGUAAACGAGAGUUCACAUCAGGUCCGAGCCCCGUGCCUGGUCUAUAAUAGGCUCUCAAUAGGUGUGCUUUCUGUUCUUCUUUUCAGGGACUAAAGAUGCUUCCAUAGUUUCAAGGAAUUUCCUCCUCUGAGCAUAAUUUUUCUAUUUUAGAAAAUCAAAUUUCCUUUCACUUGGGAAGGCUAUACUUUCUGCCGUUGAAUUCCUGGGAAUUUCAAAGGCUGCAAACUUGCUGUGGCUCAGGGGACAGCCGGAGCACAAGUGAACAAUGGCCCAUCUUGAGGGACAGCUCCCGUGAGGGUCGCCCCUCUGGUAGCCUCCCCUUCCUUCCGAAACAGCCCUGUCAUCUGUCAGGAGCGGGGGCAGUGUCUGUGCUGUGUAAGUGUUUGCUGUGAUUAUUUUUGUUAUUACUGUCCUUGGGCCUGGUGUUUCCUCAAACUGAAUCAUUUCUGUGACUCUAAAGCUUAGUUUAUUUUAUUUUAUCCAAGCCUCAGAUUAAUACCUCGAUGGCUUUGGAUUCCCGAACGGGGUCACGCUGCAACAACUAAUUCCAACACAGUUUCUUUCCGGUGAUUUUUAAACACUCACACCACAGAGGAAGGUAGGCUUCCUUCAAGAGCUCACUUAAUUUAGAUAAAUAUUUGGCCUUGUGAAUAUACAAACAGUCCUAAAAUGUGCCUUCUCCUAGGUGUAGGAUCUCAAAAGGGUUUUCAGGAUUCACCGCAUAUUCAUUCAGUUACUGAUUUGUCCACUUAGUCGUUCUCACCAGAAGGUCCAUGAGGGUAGGGCUCUUUGUUUUGUAAACCCUGAGGCAGAACAGGGCCUGCCACAUGUCAGUGUUCAGGGCAUAUUUGUUGAACGAAUGAAUGAGUGAACGAGCAUCUUCUCGGUGCCAGGGUGCCUGGCAUUAGAAAGUCAGAAUAGGACACAAUUCCUGCUGUCCACGGGCUUCUGGUCUUGGAGAAGAACGCCCCACUCCCCCCACCAUUUACCUGAAAUUCAAAGCAAACCAAUGCACCCCCCCCCCCAUGGGAUAUGUAAACACCCUGUAUGGUCACAGGAGCUGGGCGGGAGGAAUGACAGUGCUAUUGGGAAUACCAGGGAAGGUGUCCCAGGAGAGGUGGCAUUUGAGUUGGGGUUGAUUUCAGCAUGAGGAGUUGGCAGAAGGGAAACAGAAGGAGCCAAGAUCCAGGGUGAGAAAGCUUGGUGUAGUCCAGGAAGUUGCAGGAAGGCCACCUGGGUUGCGCAGGUCACUGGAAUGAGUAUCAGCUCCAGGAGGUCAGGGGCUGUGUCUGCCUUGUCAGUUGCUACGUGACACCGCAUCUGGCACAGAGCAGGCUCUCAGCAAAUUGUAGCUUUAGAAUGAAUGAGUGACAUGAGGCUGGAAAGAGGAGAUGGGACCUGGCAAUCUUUUUUGGAGGUUUGUUUGGCAACCACAAUGGGUUUCAUUGUCCCCUUCCAUCCUCUGUAGAUGCUUGUGUCUUUUCUUAAGUUCAACCCCAGUCACCACUGUGACACCCCACCGAGGGAUCUUGUACUUUCGGUUGGGAUGCCCCUCAGUAAUGGGGUGCUCACUCCCGCCCACACAGCUGGUCCCUUUUUGUAUAGAUCUGAUUGUUUGAAUAGCCAGCCUUACACUCACCACACAAUCGGACGGGCAGCAGGGACAGAGCAUUAAACUUGGUUUGGCUUCUGGCCCUGCCCCUGACUCCUGUAAUCCCUUGGGCAGGGCGGGCGUAACCAGUGAUUACAAGUGUCGGCUUCGGCAUCUGACGGUUACUGACAUCUCUGUGCCUUCACUUUCUUAUCUGUAAAACCAAGAUGGUAAUAAUAGUACUUUCCUCACCAGAUCCAGGUGGGAAUCCUGAGUUCUCAGUACCUUAUUGGCAAGUUAGUAAGUGUUCAGUACAAGUCAACCAUGAUUUAUAGUGUUAGCACUUCCUUUCUGGCUCUUGGUUUCUCCCUCUGUAUAACAGGAACAAGAACCCCUGAUUGGAUGUCUCAGGCGGCUGGUGCAAGAAGCCAGAGAGAAUGGGUGAGAGGCACCCACGGGGUCGGGAUGAGGACACAGAGACCAGAGAGGUGGAGUGACUUACCCAAGGAGCUGGCAUUUGAAGCAAAUUCUAUUCAUGUUCCGUCUGUGCUCUUUGUCCAUCAUUCUCUCAACUCCAGUGGAUCAGAAUCUCUUGGAAGGUUGGUGAAAACACUGAUGGCUGGGCCCCACCCCAGAAUUUGUGAUUCGGUAUGUCUGCUGUGUGGGCAGGAGAAUUUGCACUUCUAACAAGUUCCUAGGGACACUGAUGCUAUUGAUCCAGGGACCACACUUUGAGAACCACUGCACUGUCUUCCUUCCUCCUCUAUAACCCUUGCUCAUUAGAUCUCAGGGGACACAAGGAUUCUAAGAGUAAAAGACAGAGGUCUGAGAGAACACUGCCAGAUCUCUCUGGUUUGUGAAAGGAGAGAAAGCAUCAAUUUCCCAGGACUGGACCAAGGGUUUCCAUGUCAUUCCUGCGUGUGCUGGAGCCCUAACCCCAUUCCAGAAUGCCUUACACAGAAUCAAUGAGCAGUUAUGAGUCGAACUGAAGGAUGAACUGACUAGUCUUGAUGGGACCUCUGUAGGGACUUAUUCAUCCAAAAAGAAUGCCUGACAUUUAUUCUGAAAGGCGUCUUUCUGUAGACCCUCAAUCCUUGUAGUACCAAGUGGCAUUUUUUCCCCAAUCUAUUUCAAAUAUUUUCUAAUUCAUUCUCUGAUGGGUAUAUCAGAGGGAUAUGGUACAUCAAAUUUUUCAAGGCUUUGAAUAAGGGUUAUUGCAAAAAUAACAGCGAGGGGGGAAACCAACACACAGCUAUUUAUCAUGUUGUAAAAAAAGCAAACUUAAACCAGGCUUGCCAAAAUCUCCAAGCUUUAAACACGUGACAGCAUUCCAGAGUUGACCCUAGUGUCUGAGAGGUUAAAUUUUUCUUUAAUUUCCCAAAUAUUUGGACCCCAAGACCCCCAUUCAGCUGCACUUGGCCCUAAAUUGCAAUAAGAAAAAAGCUGAUUUUAUUCAUUCACUUGAUCUUUAUCGGGAGUAUCACAAGCCCCCGUGACAGGAAUUCUCAGCCCUGGCUGCCCACUGGAGUCCCUUGGGGAAGCUUCUAAAAAUCUGUUUGCUCCUGGCCACAUCCCAGAUCAAACACAUCAGAAUCUCUGGGGGUGGGAUCAGACAUGAGCAGUUUUGAAAGUCCCCAGGUGAUGCCAGUGGCGGCCAGGACUGAGAAACCCCUGCUUGGUGAACUCCCACUGCCUUUCUGCUAAUAAUGAUGGUUCUGAAUCUAAAAUAUCUCCAUGAAAUGAGACCCUUGCUUAGAAUCCAGAGACAGCUACUGCCUGGAGCUCUGAUCGGAGGAGUGAUGAGUGGGGAUAGAACUCCUAUUUGUUAAAGGUCUUCUGCUGCCGACCUAGUCCCAGCCACUUAAUAGCCCUGUGAGACGGGGAUUACUGUCUCCACCUUAUAGAGGACAUCCUUCUGGUCAAGGAGGUGGAGUGACUUGCCCAAGGUGGUACAGCUGGAGUUUAAAGCCAGGCUUGUCCCCUUCUUCCUUGGGAAAGCGGAGGAAGGAGACAAGCCUGUGUCCUCCCUGUGACAACUACUGCUUGCUCCCUCCUGCUCAAGGCAGCUCCUCCCUGCCCCUCCCACCUGGACCCCUGUGGCGGGCUUGGAAACAGUUCAUGACCUUGUCCACUUCUGAGGCCUCUGUAGCUAAAGGCCAAGGACAGGACUGCUCUCCUCUCCCUGCUCCCAGGACUUGCUGUCAGGUGGUAGAUGACAAGGGUCUCUGGCUUCUGGCUUCUCCUCCCUUUCUGUGCCCUCACCAGCAAUUAGCAGCAGCUGAGGUCACCACGUGUCCUCUCACAGACCAGGACAGGCCAGAGCCCUGGGUGACCUGGCCAAGCGUGGGCGGAGCUUCUGCCUUAUGCUGCUCCCAAUGUAUACACACUACUCAACAACCUUUCUGCCCAGAACAGGCUACGAUGUUUAUAAUAUAUAUGUAUUUGGUCUUCAUCUUCAUUUCUGGCACAGAGCUCCUAAAACCUUCAGAAUUCCUGUGCUGAGAGGGAUAAAGUUGUCUUGUGUCAUGUUAAUGAGGUGACUUUUAGACCAGCACCUAAGAAUGGGGACUGGUUGCCAGUGAAAGCAACCAGGUGAUCAGAGGGUUGGAAUUUUCAGUCCUGCCUCCAGACCUCUGGGGAGGGGAGAGGGGCUGGAGGUCCAGUUCAGUUGCCCACAGCUGAUGAUUUAAUCAAUGGUGCCUGUAUUUGAAGUCUCCAUAAAAACCCAAAAGGAUGGGCUUCAGAGAGCUUCAGGGUUGGUGAACAUGUGGAGAUGUGGGGAGAAUGGUGCUCUCCAGAGGACACAGCAGCUCUGAGCUUGGCGUCCUCUCCCCUUAACCCUGCCCUAUGCUUCCCUUCCACUUGCCUGUUCCUGAGUUAUAGCCUCUUAUAAUAACCUGGUAAGUAAAAUCAUGAGUUCUGUCAGCUGCUCUAUCAAAUUAACUGAACCCAAGGAGAAAGGUUUUUGGCCCUUCGAUCUAUAGCCAGUCGGUCAGAGGCGCAAGUAACCGCAUGGAGUUGCAGCUGGGGUCUGAAGUGGGUGGAGGGGCAGUCUUGUAGGACUAAACUCUUAACUGUGUGCUCUGAUGCUCUCUCUGGGUAGCGUCAGAAUUGGGUUGAACUGUAGGACACCCAGCCAGGGUCAGAGAAUUGCUUGGUGCUAUGGGGGAACCCACCCCUCCCAACACACAUGCACACUUUGGAAGAUGGUACCAGAAUCUUUAAGGUGUCAAACAAGCUUCACUGGUGGGUCUCAGCGGAGCUUCAAAAUACUGUGAAAGGGAAGAUCUUUGCCCUUGGUUAAUGGCUGAGGAAGCUGAGACUUUGAGACGGCACAGGGCUCGAAGAAGCAGCCUGCAUGGGACCAGGGCCAGGUCCCCCAUCUGUCAGAACCUGUUUAGGUUUCUAAGACCCCCGCUGCUCCCCUGGUUCAGGCUUUCUUUGUCCCCAGGGUCCUCGUACAUCCUUUCCACACCAUCAUCCCAUUCAUCCCUCCAAGUCACAGCUUAGCUGCCCCUUCAUUCAGCAACCUUAAAGGACAUUGAACACAAACACCUUUUUAUUAUGGAAACUUUUGAAAAAAUACAGAAGAGAACAAUAUAAUACCUCCCCUACCCCCAACUACCAACUAACUCCUUAUCUCCUUUUAUCUUCACCCAGCCAGUGUUUCCAGUCCUCCAUAUUUUUGGAGAGCAAAUCCCAGACAUCAUAUCAUUUAAUCUGUAAACAUUUUUAUAUUUAUCUCUGAAAGAUAAGGACUUUUAAAAGUAUCCACAAUACCAUUAUCAUCUUUAACAAGAUAAACAAUAAUUCCUUAAGAUGAGCAAAAGCCUUGAGUUCAAAUUU